UACCAGCACCCCGAGUGGUCGGGACGUUUAUUGGGCCUAAAGCAUCCGUAGCCGGUUCUACAAGUCUUCCGUUAAAUCCAACUGCUUAACAGGUGGGCUGCGGAAGAUACUAUAGAGCUAGGAGGCGGGAGAGGCAAGCGGUACUCGAUGGGUAGGGGUAAAAUCCGUUGAUCCAUUGAAGACCACCAGUGGCGAAGGCGGCUUGCCAGAACGCGCUCGACGGUGAGGGAUGAAAGCUGGGGAGCAACCGGG
This 252-nucleotide ribosomal RNA is filed under the name uncultured bacterium. RNAcentral's name for it is "partial 16S ribosomal RNA". It matches the Rfam family "Archaeal small subunit ribosomal RNA", at positions 474 to 727 of the family's 1478-position model. The record is from RNAcentral.